AUUGAACGCUGGCGGCAGGCCUAACACAUGCAAGUCGAGCGGAUGAAGGGAGCUUGCUCCUGGAUUCAGCGGCGGACGGGUGAGUAAUGCCUAGGAAUCUGCCUGGUAGUGGGGGAUAACGUCCGGAAACGGGCGCUAAUACCGCAUACGUCCUGAGGGAGAAAGUGGGGGAUCUUCGGACCUCACGCUAUCAGAUGAGCCUAGGUCGGAUUAGCUAGUUGGUGGGGUAAAGGCCUACCAAGGCGACGAUCCGUAACUGGUCUGAGAGGAUGAUCAGUCACACUGGAACUGAGACACGGUCCAGACUCCUACGGGAGGCAGCAGUGGGGAAUAGUGGACAAUGGGCGAAGGCCUGAUCCAGCCAUGCCGCGUGUGUGAAGAAGGUCUUCGGAUUGUAAAGCACUUUAAGUUGGGAGGAAGGGCAGUAAGUUAAUACCUUGCUGUUUUGACGUUACCAACAGAAUAAGCACCGGCUAACUUCGUG
RNAcentral lists this ribosomal RNA (484 nucleotides) under uncultured bacterium. RNAcentral's name for it is "partial 16S ribosomal RNA". It matches the Rfam family "Bacterial small subunit ribosomal RNA", at positions 30 to 507 of the family's 1533-position model. The record is from RNAcentral.